RNAcentral lists this long non-coding RNA (375 nucleotides) under Brassica napus (rape). RNAcentral describes it as "long non-coding RNA (BNAP_LNC014092)". The record is from RNAcentral. Lineage: Eukaryota; Viridiplantae; Streptophyta; Magnoliopsida; Brassicales; Brassicaceae.
GAGAGGCUGUUUUAGUGUUUAAUUAGGUGAGGCUCAAGUGUUUGUGGGUAUCAGCGAUAACAAAAAAAAAUGCAAAACAUUAUGCAAAAUCGCUGGAGAGACCGAGUAUAUUGAUAACCAUGUUUUCGAACUGCUCAAGUCUCAAAUGAUCAAAAACCAACAAAUCUCAAACUCUAACCCCAAAUUUAAACAAAGCAUCAUCUCUAGUACAUAAAAUAAAAAUAAAAUGUCUAAAUCAAAUAUACUGAAUGAGAUAUAAACAUGAAUAAAUUUUUUUUUUUUUUUUUUGGACCGAUUACUUGCAAAUGUUUUGUGGUAAUCGAUCGAAUCAUAUUUUUUUUUUUUUUUUUUUUUUUUUUUUUUUUUUUUUUAAAA